Molecule: ribosomal RNA, 253 nt
Filed under: uncultured bacterium
Lineage: Bacteria
Description: partial 16S ribosomal RNA
Rfam family: Bacterial small subunit ribosomal RNA
Source: RNAcentral
UACGUAGGGUGCAAGCGUUAAUCGGAAUUACUGGGCGUAAAGCGUGCGCAGGCGGUUAUGCAAGACAGAUGUGAAAUCCCCGGGCUCAACCUGGGAACUGCAUUUGUGACUGCACAGCUUGAGUGCGGCAGAGGGGGAUGGAAUUCCGCGUGUAGCAGUGAAAUGCGUAGAUAUGCGGAGGAACACCGAUGGCGAAGGCAAUCCCCUGGGCCUGCACUGACGCUCAUGCACGAAAGCGUGGGGAGCAAACAGG